UCUCAUCGACCCAAUGACUUCCUUCGCCUUGCGCGGAAGGAGUUCGCUAUGCGACCCCAGGUCAGGCGGGGCUACCCGCUGAGUUUAAGCAUAUC
RNAcentral lists this ribosomal RNA (95 nucleotides) under Thesium sedifolium. Its description in RNAcentral is "partial 28S ribosomal RNA". The record is from RNAcentral. Lineage: Eukaryota; Viridiplantae; Streptophyta; Magnoliopsida; Santalales; Thesiaceae.